UACGUAGGCAGCGAGCGUUGUUCGGAAUUACUGGGCGUAAAGAGUGCGUAGGCGGUGCUCUAAGUCUGUUGUGAAAUCUCCCGGCUCAACUGGGAGGGUGCGGCGGAAACUAGAGUGCUAGAGUGUGGGAGAGGUAAGCGGAAUUCCUGGUGUAGCGGUGAAAGGCGUAGAUAUGAGGAGGAACACCAGCGGUGUAGACAGCUUACUGGACCACGACUGACGCUGAGACACGAAAGCGUGGGUAGCAAACAGG
Molecule: ribosomal RNA, 253 nt
Filed under: uncultured bacterium
Lineage: Bacteria
Description: partial 16S ribosomal RNA
Rfam family: Bacterial small subunit ribosomal RNA
Source: RNAcentral